This 67-nucleotide transfer RNA is filed under the name Marmota monax (woodchuck). Its description in RNAcentral is "tRNA.Ala". It matches the Rfam family "tRNA". Rfam says of the family: Transfer RNA (tRNA) molecules are approximately 80 nucleotides in length. Their secondary structure includes four short double-helical elements and three loops (D, anti-codon, and T loops). Further hydrogen bonds mediate the characteristic L-shaped molecular structure. tRNAs have two regions of fundamental functional importance: the anti-codon, which is responsible for specific mRNA codon recognition, and the 3' end, to which the tRNAs corresponding amino acid is attached (by aminoacyl-tRNA synthetases). tRNAs cope with the degeneracy of the genetic code in two manners: having more than one tRNA (with a specific anti-codon) for a particular amino acid; and 'wobble' base-pairing, i.e. permitting non-standard base-pairing at the 3rd anti-codon position. The record is from RNAcentral. Lineage: Eukaryota; Metazoa; Chordata; Mammalia; Rodentia; Sciuridae.
GGUUGUGGCUCAAUGGUAGAGUGCUUGCCUAGCACACAUGAGGCACUGGGUUCAAUUCUCAGCACCA